GGGGAAUAUUGCACAAUGGGGGAAACCCUGAUGCAGCGACGCCGCGUGAGUGAAGAAGUAUUUCGGUAUGUAAAGCUCUAUCAGCAGGGAAGAAGAAGGACGGUACCUGACUAAGAAGCCCCGGCUAACUC
RNAcentral lists this ribosomal RNA (131 nucleotides) under uncultured bacterium. Its description in RNAcentral is "partial 16S ribosomal RNA". It matches the Rfam family "Bacterial small subunit ribosomal RNA", at positions 356 to 503 of the family's 1533-position model. The record is from RNAcentral.